RNAcentral lists this ribosomal RNA (503 nucleotides) under Vibrio sp. HDEP17. RNAcentral's name for it is "bacterial SSU rRNA". It matches the Rfam family "Bacterial small subunit ribosomal RNA", at positions 380 to 875 of the family's 1533-position model. The record is from RNAcentral. Lineage: Bacteria; Pseudomonadati; Pseudomonadota; Gammaproteobacteria; Vibrionales; Vibrionaceae.
AGCCUGAUGCAGCCAUGCCGCGUGUGUGAAGAAGGCCUUCGGGUUGUAAAGCACUUUCAGUCGUGAGGAAGGUGGUAGUGUUAAUAGCACUAUCAUUUGACGUUAGCGACAGAAGAAGCACCGGCUAACUCCGUGCCAGCAGCCGCGGUAAUACGGAGGGUGCGAGCGUUAAUCGGAAUUACUGGGCGUAAAGCGCAUGCAGGUGGUUUGUUAAGUCAGAUGUGAAAGCCCGGGGCUCAACCUCGGAAUAGCAUUUGAAACUGGCAGACUAGAGUACUGUAGAGGGGGGUAGAAUUUCAGGUGUAGCGGUGAAAUGCGUAGAGAUCUGAAGGAAUACCGGUGGCGAAGGCGGCCCCCUGGACAGAUACUGACACUCAGAUGCGAAAGCGUGGGGAGCAAACAGGAUUAGAUACCCUGGUAGUCCACGCCGUAAACGAUGUCUACUUAGAUACUGUGGCCUUGAGCCGUGGCUUUCGGAGCUAACGCGUUAAGUAGACCGCCUG